Molecule: long non-coding RNA, 555 nt
Organism: Centropristis striata (black sea bass)
Lineage: Eukaryota; Metazoa; Chordata; Actinopteri; Perciformes; Serranidae
Exons: 7
Source: RefSeq, a predicted model, not a curated record
CAGCCGUCGCCGGGAGCAGUGAGUGUGUGUGCGCGCGUGUGUGUGUGUGUGCUGGUAUAAUCUGACAGCACGCUGGGGCUGCGUUUCCUAAGAAAAGCUCAGCUCUCUCAGUUUUCUGCCCGUCUUAUUGCCGCUCUCAUUGUCUUUGUCGACAGUGAUAAAGAGAGCAGUUCAACCACGGGCCUGUUUUUGGAAUAAGAAAAGCAUUGCUGUUUUCUGACUUUGAGAGAAGAAAGAAGGGACUCCUCUGGAAUUUCCUAAGGAAUUUAUUCGGACAGCUCCCUUAACCGGGGCUUUGCAUUCUACCGCCUGGGUAUAUAAUGUGACCAACUAUUCCACACUAGGGAAAUUCUGAGGAGUUCUCUUCUUUCAUCACUCUGGUCCGGGGCAGCAAUCGCCAAUUAUUAUUCCAAACGGGUGGGGCAAAGGGGGCAUUCUUUUCAGUGGUGAGUCGGCGAGGUAAAACUACAGCAUCGGGCAGCAUGUUGGCACCUGCAUGAACCCAACAGGGGAGCCUCAUUUCUUGUUCUCUUUCCUGAGACGUCAACCACAGGA